Long non-coding RNA from Ochotona princeps (American pika), 558 nucleotides. RefSeq lists it as uncharacterized. The record is from RefSeq and is a predicted model, not a curated record. The transcript has 5 exons. Lineage: Eukaryota; Metazoa; Chordata; Mammalia; Lagomorpha; Ochotonidae.
AGGAACUGUUGAAUCAUGGAGUUUGAGUAAGUGCGCCUUUGGCAUUAGCAGAUCUACCAAACAGCUUUCCAGUCUGGAGUAGCAAAUUAAACUCCUUGCACAUCAGGUUACAGUGACACAACUUUAGGAACUCUUCAAGCCACAAAAAUUAUCUGCUCCAAGGUUUGGAAUCACUGGAAACUGAAUCACUAUCAGAUUCUAUGCUGCCUUGCAGCUGACCAAUUCCCUGCAAGUCUGAAGAAGCUCUGCAGGCUGAAGCCAAUGCACAACACCUCAAAGGACUCAUCCUGCCACAGGCCAGGCUUGAGCCCGAACUCUCUCUGGAUGAAUUCGUUCUGGACCUAAAUCAGUCUGGUCAUGAGAGGAAAAUGAAUUGCCACCAAAAGAAGUGGUCCUGUGUGUCCUAAAGGAGAUGGCUGUGGGGCAGGGAGAGGGUUAAAGUAAGUCCUCGAGAGCUGCAUCUGACACGUGACUGAUGCUUUGGCUAAUUCAAGACUAAGGGACAGGAAAUGAGGAAGAAUGGAAGCCAGUGAGGAAGAAGGAAGAAAACCCCAGCAA